RNAcentral lists this ribosomal RNA (253 nucleotides) under uncultured bacterium. RNAcentral's name for it is "partial 16S ribosomal RNA". It matches the Rfam family "Bacterial small subunit ribosomal RNA", at positions 524 to 776 of the family's 1533-position model. The record is from RNAcentral.
UACGAAGGGGGCUAGCGUUGCUCGGAAUGACUGGGCGUAAAGGGUGCGUAGGCGGAUGGCACAGUCAGAUGUGAAAUUCCCGGGCUUAACCUGGGGGCUGCAUUUGAUACGUGUUGUCUAGAGUGAGGAAGAGGGUUGUGGAAUUCCCAGUGUAGAGGUGAAAUUCGUAGAUAUUGGGAAGAACACCGGUGGCGAAGGCGGCGACCUGGUCCGAUACUGACGCUGAGGCGCGAAAGCGUGGGGAGCAAACAGG